GGCUGGGGAGCGGGGGUGGGGACAGAAAUCCACUGGUCACUUUGCGCAGGACUCAAGUUUAACAGGUGGCUUCGGCCACCUCCUGCCAAUAUGAGACUCUCCCCCUCCUGCCUGCGGCGGAAGGGACACAGUGCCCGGGAGUUGGACAGCCGCUGCGGCUCCCCCGAGGAGGGCAGUGGGGCCAGGGCAGGAGUGUUGGAACAACCCCGGACCGCUCUGCGACCAAAGCAAGAAACGUGCCACUGACCACCGUGCGCCCCCACGCCAGGACAGCCUCGGAGUCAGAAAGCCACGCGUCCUCCCCACCGACCCCGAGCCGGACGCACGCCUACUCCCGGGAUCCCGAGGGAGGUCCCGAGUUUCCUGGAGGAGGAAAACGGACAUUCAAAGAGGCGAAGAAACGCGUCCAAGAGGUUUUGACCCUAUUGCUCGGUGCCGUUUCUCCUUUAUCACCAUGGAAAUGUUCACUGAGGUUAUUAGCUGGUUGUGGAAGGCUUUUGUCCAUAUUCUGAAGGAAAAAUGCAUGUGGAAGAAACAAAUAUGGAAUAAAGUAGUAAAUAAAUCACAUCUAAAUUCAAAAAGAGUCUGAAAGAAAAGCAAGUUUCUAAAAGAUGCAUGGUGAAGAAGUACCGUUCAUUCGAGCUUCAGGACCCGCCAAGUGACCGAGGUCCAAACAGGAAGAGAGGAUGUAUGGAGCCCAUUCAUUCUUCAUCCAAAAAUAAUUUGUGGUUUCUUAUGUGCCAAGUGUUAUGAAGGGUAAAGUCCAGGAGGUGCAACAAUGAGCAGUAUGGAUGAGUUCCCUGUCCAAGGAAAAUUUAUGAUCCAGAAGGGUUUGGGGGAUACAGACGAGACUCCAAUGAUAAGCUAGUUGGUCACCAUCCAUCUGUUAAUCCCCAAAUAGAGUAGGAGUGAUUCUGUAAAUAAAACAACGGUAAGGUGAAUGGCAUCCCCCCCAGAGAUAAGCCUGAGGACUCAUGGUUGGUCUGAAUUUGGCCAAGGACAACUUUGCUU
Molecule: long non-coding RNA, 1011 nt
Organism: Capra hircus (goat)
Lineage: Eukaryota; Metazoa; Chordata; Mammalia; Artiodactyla; Bovidae
Exons: 3
Source: RefSeq, a predicted model, not a curated record